RNAcentral lists this ribosomal RNA (478 nucleotides) under uncultured bacterium. RNAcentral describes it as "bacterial SSU rRNA". It matches the Rfam family "Bacterial small subunit ribosomal RNA", at positions 30 to 506 of the family's 1533-position model. The record is from RNAcentral.
AUUGAACGCUGGCGGCAGGCCUAACACAUGCAAGUCGAGCGGUAGAGAGGUGCUUGCAUCUCUUGAGAGCGGCGGACGGGUGAGUAAUGCCUAGGAAUCUGCCUAGUGGUGGGGGAUAACGUUCGGAAACGGACGCUAAUACCGCAUACGUCCUACGGGAGAAAGCGGGGGAUCUUCGGACCUCGCGCCAUUAGAUGAGCCUAGGUCGGAUUAGCUAGUUGGUGAGGUAAUGGCUCACCAAGGCGACGAUCCGUAACUGGUCUGAGAGGAUGAUCAGACACACUGGAACUGAGACACGGACCAGACUCCUACGGGAGGCAGCAGUGGGGAAUUUUGGGCAAUGGGCGCAAGCCUGAUCCAGCAAUGCCGCGUGCAGGAUGACGGUCCUAUGGAUUGUAAACUGCUUUUGUACAGGAAGAAACACUACUUCGUGAAGUAGCUUGACGGUACUGUAAGAAUAAGGAUCGGCUAACUCCGU